AAAGUCAGUUUNGUACUUAAAUUACACAUGCAAGUUUCCGCACCCCCGUGAAAACGCCCUCCCCANUCCUCUUAGGANACGAGGAGCCGGUAUCAGGCGCCCUCUCUUUGCCCAAGACACCUAGCCUUNGCCACACCCACACGGGNAAUUCAGCAGUGAUUAACUUUGAACAUGAGCGUCAGCUUAAUUCAGUUAAAGUACNAGUAAAGCCGGCAAAUCCGGUGCCAGCCGCCGCGGUUACACCAGUAGGCUUAAGUUGACUCUNAUAUCGGCGUAAAGCGUGAUUAAAGUAAUAAUAAAANNNNUAAAGUUAAACUGCAACUAGACUGUAAUAAAGCNUUGUUUUCAGGAAUANUCAUANAACGAAAGUUACUUUAGACAAAANCAACUUGAAUUCACGACAGCUGAGAAACAAACUGAGAUUAGAUACCUCACUAUGCUCAGCCGUAAACUUUNUAAUUACACCUNNCUAUCGCCAGGGAACUACGAGCAAAGCUUAAAACCCAAAGGACUUGACGGUACCCCACAUCCAUCUAGAGGAGCCUGUCCUAUAAUCGAUAAUCCCCGUUUAACCUCACCAUUUUUAGCUANNAUCAGCCUGUAUACCUCCGUCGUCAGUCUACCACGUGAGCGAAAUUCAGUAGGCAAAAUGUCCAUAUGAUUUUUUAUCUAUNACGUCAAUACGUCAGGUCAAGGUGCAGCAAAUAAAGUGGGAAGAGAUAGGCUACAUUUUCUAUCUNUAGAAAAUANCGAAAAAUUAUUUAUGAAAUCNUAAUUAGAAGGAGGAUUUAGUAGUAAAAAGAAAAUANGAGAGUUCUUUUAAUUGUUC
This 829-nucleotide non-coding RNA is filed under the name Litoria sp. 4 SD-2009. The record is from RNAcentral. Lineage: Eukaryota; Metazoa; Chordata; Amphibia; Anura; Pelodryadidae.